RNAcentral lists this transfer RNA (83 nucleotides) under Streptomyces lacrimifluminis. Its description in RNAcentral is "tRNA-Asn". The record is from RNAcentral. Lineage: Bacteria; Bacillati; Actinomycetota; Actinomycetes; Kitasatosporales; Streptomycetaceae.
CGCACCCCUCGCACGAGGGGUGCGGGCGUCUUUGUUGGGGGCGCGGGGCUGUGACAUUUGCGGCUCCGCCGCGCGGGCGCGAC